GGGGAAUCUUAGACAAUGGGCGCAAGCCUGAUCUAGCCAUGCCGCGUGAGCGAUGAAGGCCUUAGGGUUGUAAAGCUCUUUCAGCGAGGAAGAUAAUGACUGUACUCGCAGAAGAAGCCCCGGCUAACUCCGUGCCAGCAGCCGCGGUAAUACGGAGGGGGCUAGCGUUGUUCGGAAUUACUGGGCGUAAAGCGCACGUAGGCGGACUGGAAAGUCAGGGGUGAAAUCCCGGGGCUCAACCCCGGAACUGCCUUUGAAACUCCCAGUCUUGAGGUCGAGAGAGGUGAGUGGAAUUCCGAGUGUAGAGGUGAAAUUCGUAGAUAUUCGGAGGAACACCAGUGGCGAAGGCGGCUCACUGGCUCGAUACUGACGCUGAGGGGCGAAAGCGUGGGGAGCAAAC
RNAcentral lists this ribosomal RNA (400 nucleotides) under uncultured bacterium. Its description in RNAcentral is "bacterial SSU rRNA". It matches the Rfam family "Bacterial small subunit ribosomal RNA", at positions 356 to 773 of the family's 1533-position model. The record is from RNAcentral.